Non-coding RNA from Marasmius sp. AFHP31, 108 nucleotides. The record is from the annotation of a GenBank genome assembly. Lineage: Eukaryota; Fungi; Basidiomycota; Agaricomycetes; Agaricales; Marasmiaceae.
GGGCACAUGGUGUAGUUGGUUAUCACAUCCGCUUAGCAUCCAGUACAAUUGAACAAUCAAACUAUGUUGAUCUGCGGGGGGUGCUGGGUUCAAUUCCCAGUGUGUCCA